RNAcentral lists this ribosomal RNA (292 nucleotides) under uncultured bacterium. RNAcentral describes it as "partial 16S ribosomal RNA". It matches the Rfam family "Bacterial small subunit ribosomal RNA", at positions 505 to 796 of the family's 1533-position model. The record is from RNAcentral.
GUGUCAGCCGCCGCGGUAAUACGUAGGGGGCAAGCGUUGUCCGGAUUUACUGGGUGUAAAGGGCGCGUAGGCGGAACUAUAAGUCAGAGGUGAAAUCCUGCAGCUUAACUGCAGAACUGCCUUUGAUACUGUAGUUCUUGAGUGCGGAAGAGAGAGACGGAAUUCCAGGUGUAGUGGUGAAAUACGUAGAUAUCUGGAAGAACACCAGUUGCGAAGGCGGUCUCUUGGUCCGUAACUGACGCUCAGGCGCGAAAGCGUGGGUAGCAAACAGGAUUAGAAACCCCGGUAGUCC